AACGAACGCUGGCGGCAUGCCUAACACAUGCAAGUCGAACGAGACCUUCGGGUCUAGUGGCGCACGGGUGCGUAACGCGUGGGAACCUGCCCUUAGGUUCGGAAUAACUCCCCGAAAGGGGUGCUAAUACCGGAUAAUGUCUUCGGACCAAAGAUUUAUCGCCUUUGGAUGGGCCCGCGUUGGAUUAGCUAGUUGGUAGGGUAAAAGCCUACCAAGGCGACGAUCCAUAGCUGGUCUGAGAGGAUGAUCAGCCACACUGGGACUGAGACACGGCCCAGACUCCUACGGGAGGCAGCAGAGGGGGAUAUUGGACAAUGGGCGAAAGCCUGAUCCAGCAAUGCCGCGUGAGUGAUGAAGGCCUUAGGGUUGUAAAGCUCUUUUACCCGGGAUGAUAAUGACAGUACCGGGAGAAUAAGCUCCGGCUAACUCCGUG
RNAcentral lists this ribosomal RNA (433 nucleotides) under uncultured bacterium. Its description in RNAcentral is "partial 16S ribosomal RNA". It matches the Rfam family "Bacterial small subunit ribosomal RNA", at positions 29 to 507 of the family's 1533-position model. The record is from RNAcentral.